UCUUCUACAAGUCUCCUACCAAAGAUGUAGAUGCAAUUUUACUUCUCUUGUUUGCUAGACCAAAAGACCGAAAAAGGCUGCUGGGUCUGUAACUUAUCAGCUUCAGGGUUAAGAUGGAAUUCCUGGACAUGUGUCAAGUAGGCAAGCAGGGCUUUGCCUGUCUAUCGGCCCCCCUCAGCCAAGCUAUUUCUUAAGUUCAAUUCCGAAACGUUUCAUCUGUGUUCAAAUUGAAUGCUCAGGGAUGAAGACAUCACAUUGGAAGAAACCAAGGAACUGGUGAUUUUCAAGUUAUCAAUGUUAAGAUUCUGCAAGCAGCAGAUACUCGCGGUUUUUAUUUUUCACCUGACAGAAGGAAGCAAGAUGGAAAUUGGUGAUACUUGCUUAACAAUGUCAAGAUGCUGCAACCUGCAAGUAUCAAAUGAGUAGUACAUACCAAAUUACUAAGUUAUGACUUGUCAGAAUAAGAAUGAUGGCAUAUACGAUACAAGGUGUUUGAAGGUUCAUGAAGGAGAGUACUUUUUAAGGGCAUCGGAUCACGCAGACUUAAAAUGUAAGGGCCUUGUUUCACAGGAUUUUGCACACAUUUCGACAAUAUGAAGAUUAUGGGCCAUGACCACCAUAGUGCUCUAAAGCAGGCAAGUUUCUUUUUUGUAAGAAACAUUGGUGCAAGGUUAUGAUUGUUAAGUU
Long non-coding RNA from Brachypodium distachyon (stiff brome), 687 nucleotides. RefSeq lists it as uncharacterized. Lineage: Eukaryota; Viridiplantae; Streptophyta; Magnoliopsida; Poales; Poaceae. The transcript is spliced from 4 exons. The record is from RefSeq and is a predicted model, not a curated record.